UUCUGACAAAGAUGCCAUUUUUAGACUGAAUUAGGGUACAUUCCUUAAUGCAGUUCCUAAUUAUGUUUUGCUAAUAGGAAAUUAAAAAAAAAAAAAACCUACUCAAAAGCUGAGAAGUUUUGUCAUGUUUUGCAUUUUUCUUUUGAUUUGUUUAUUCUUUGCCUAUUUGAAGUACCAACAGUUUUAUGCUUUCCGUAGAAAAUACUCCUAUUGUCAGGCACAUUUUCAUUAAAAAACUGCUCAGUUCAUAUACUGCCUUUCUUUAAAAAUAUUUACUGUUUAAUUACUAUGCUUAGGUGAAUCUCAAAACUAUUUAAUUUUACAAAAAAUAUCCAGAGGAAUAAUAUUCAGAAAAGUUCAGUCAUGACACAGUAACUCCAUAACUCCAUUUAUAAGCAUAAGAACUACCUGAUCCACAUCAAUAAACACUUUAAUACACAAUUAAACUGACUUAAAACAGGACACAGACUGGUCAUUACCUGGCAUAUUAUGUUGUAUGGACAUUUUAAAUCUGCCUUGACACCAUUGUGCACAACAUUUCAAUUUAUAUUCUUGCAUAAACCUGAUCAAUUUCUAUUUGAACUCAUACAUUUUUUUCCUAACAUAUGCUUUAAAUAUCAAAGAACUGGGCAAUGAUUGUAUAGUAAAAUACAUUUACUAUGUAUUUCACAAUGUCCUUUUGCUACUUUUAUAAUUGAUGUCUGGUAUUUUCAUUGGAAAUCUUCUCCUUCCUAUAUUGCUUGGCCAAUCAGUUCAUUCUCCUCAGCCUUCAUGCUUUCAUGGAUCAUCACUUCCAUAUCCCUCUUCCAUCAUUAUCUCAAAGCCAAGGAAAGUAGCUCUGUCUGUGAAAGUUCACACAUAGAAGCUAUUGCUCACCUCUGAACAUCUUCCCUCCUUUACCUCUCUGCAUGCAACUGAAACCAUAGUGGUUUUUUUAAAAAAAAAAAGAAGCUACACUAGGAAGAAAUGGUGCUCAUCCUUACAUGGCAACUUAUUAAAAAGAAUAUUUGUUCAGGGACUAAGGGUAUCCCUCUAAGCUUUGAAUGUCAGAGAGCAAGACUCUAAAUCCCAGGCCUCCAAACAGGUGUGCUGGUGAGUUUUAAGGACCACAGCAGUAACUGGUGUUUUAAAACAGGUAAUCUGCCUCACUCACAAUUGGGCACCAAAAGCUUUUUAAAUUCAGGUCGCAUUAAGCUGUAUCUGGAAAGUGCAAGCAGAACCAUGAAAACUGAUGCAUUCUGGGACACUCCAAAGUUACCUGUUGCUGAAUUCCAAAAUUAGUAACCAACACAAACUUUAACUACAUCAUUUGUAGUUGCAUUAAAGAAGUUUACUUAUGCACACAUAUUUAAAAAAAAAAAAAGAAACCAUCAACCUGAAAUAUGUUCAUAACUCCACAAGAAGCAUUAUGAAGAUGCUGAAGUAGAAAGCAGGAUGCAAGUGGCAUCAGUCACAAUCUGUCACUUGAUAGACCUUCUAAUCCACAUCUUUACCAGUCCUGUUCCCAGCUCCUGCCCCUUCCUUUGCUAUCACUUAGACAUUGUGCUAAACCUAGCUAACUGGCUGACUGUAACCUCCUUUUCUCUCCCUCUCCCCUCCCCUCAAACAAAGAUGAAUGUAAGGUCCUGCGUCUGAAAAGGAUAAAAAGAUAACUCCAUGCAUCAGUACAGACUGAGGGCUGAUAGAAGUUCUGCAGAAAAGUACUUGGGAUCUUGGUGGAGCAGGAGUCUGUGGCAUACCUUUGAGGCAAUGAGAGUUGUCUGCACACUGGGUUGUACUAGAUAGAAUAUAACCAGCACGGUUAUGGAAAUUAUUAUUCGCUUCUAAAUGGAACAUCUGAGACUAUCUCUGGAACAUUCCACUCUGUAAGAAAUGCAUAAACAAACUGGAGCAACUCCAGAGGAGGGCCACCAACUCAUGGAGCUUGAGCAUAUGACAUAUGGGCAGAGACUAUGAAAAGUGUGUUUGUGUGUUCAGCUUGGAUGAAAGAAGCCGAAGUUCAGCUGCUGUCUUCAACAAUAUGACAGGUGGUUCUGUAGAAGACGGAACCAAACUCUUCUCAAAGGUGCAAAAACAGCAAAAAGGCAAUGGUCACAUAUUUCCACAAUGGAAGCUCCUAAGGAAAACAUUCCUUAUCUUGGGAUCAGUCAAGUCCUCAAAAGGUUCACAAAAAGAAAGUGGGAUUUUCAACUUUGGAGAUACUCAAAACUUGAUUGUGCGCGUCCUGAGCAUGUUGUUCUAACUGUGAUCCUAGAAAAACUUUGAGCUGGGGGUGGUACCAGAAAACUCCCAAAGAUCCCUUCCAACUUAAACUGUUUGGUAGUUCUGAUCACAUAUUUAAAGUUCAAAGACUUCUUCAAAGUUAAAAUUCAAUUUCCAGCUAGAAAAUCUUCAUGUUAAGCUUUAGAAAGAUGCACAACCAUUUUUAACUACUAUUUACUUGCUAGAUUACAGACCAGUAGUAAUAAUAUAUAUUAUAUGAAAAAAAUACAGCAUUAACUAUGCAUUCCCAAGCUAAGCAUAUUGAGUAUAGUCAGAAAAAAAGACAGCAUGGGUCUGGUGUAACCUGACCAAGGUUUUAUAUUUAUAUACACACGCUAUAUAACAUAUACAUGUUUGUACUCAGAAUUUACAUGUUUGUACUCAGAAUACCUCAAAUAAUAAUGUGUAAACAAAAAAUUAAUUAGGCCAAGAACAUGAAAUUUAUAAAUCAUUACAUUAUUAAUUGCACUUAAAAGUAAUUUUUGUAGUCAAGAUUCAUAGGCAACAUAACUCUGUGAAGCAAAGCAUAUUCUUUGAAAUGAAUCAGAGAUAAAAUCUGUGAAUUUUAAAGUAAAAAAUACAUCUGCAGGAUCUAAAGUAAAAGCAAAACUUUAAAGGAAGUAAGAAGACAAACACAAGACAAAUAGAUUGUAUUUUUUAAGAACUAAUGAACAUCAUGCUCUGGGGUAGGGAGAAAGAUUCCCAUUCAAGCGUGCCAUCCAAAUGUACACACUUUUAGGUAAAGUGAGAACUAUUUUCAAGCUCUUUCUGUGGUUGAAAUGGCAGCAUGUGAAAACAGAAGAAAACAAUAGAAGGUAUCACACUUGUAUAAGGCAUUAUUAAUUCUACCAGAUGAACUCCCUCUUCACUGUGAUAGAGUGAUUUAUUCUUCACUGACUACCUUACAAAAACAAGUACAAGAGGGAAGAAAAAAGCUGUUUGGUCCAGACAUUGAAGAUGAAUUUUUUUAGCUAUACCUAUGCAACACACAAAUUAAGCCCAAAUAUGAGUAAUGGUGGCAUCAAGGAAUUCUACUUUACCCCUCAAAUUAAAUAGAAUCAGAAUGUAAUGGAAGAAAGAUACAAGUCCCUAAAUAUUCAUACACUAAUUCUUGAAUUAAUUUAAUAUUUCCUAUCAGCAAUAUAAUAUGGGAGAAAGCCAAGUAUGAUAUUAUUUUUCCCUGUGUACAAGAAGUUCCAAUUCCUGAAGGAAUACACACUUUUCUCUCAUCUAAAUAUAAUUUACCAUUAUUUUCCAAACUGCUUCAGAAAGAGACUAAAUAAAUUGUACUAAGACACCUAUAGGUGACCAUUAGGUAAUUCAAAGACCAAUGACAAAAAAAAAAAAAAAGCAGUAUGGUUCUAACAAACUGAACAGUAAAUAUGCACUGCACAGGAUCAGACUGUUUUCUGUUCUGUGUACAUUAUAUUUUCUGAAAAGUAUGAAUGAUAAUUUAAGAGAGACUGACAUCACCAUAAGGACUGGUGCUCUGGUUGUAUUGCAGGAUUUAUCAGAUCAAAACUUUUAGCAGAUAAAAGUCUUACUUUUUACAGAAAUUAAGUUACUCAUGUAGCUUGCCAUUUAUACAGGUAGAGCCUGACAAUCCUGGCAAUCAAUCAGAGCUGGGUACAAGUGUAUAGAUAAUUCACAUGUAAAACUCUUCAGAAAAUUAAUAAAUCUGUAUUGUCAAAGAGAGGAGACUGUCAUGGAUAUCAGUGAAACUACACCUGUUAGAGAAAUCCUGAGAUGGAAAAAGAUGGAUUUUUAAAUUCAUCACACAGAUCAAAUAACAACCCCCCCCACAAAAAAAAAAAAAAAAAAAAAAAA
Taeniopygia guttata (zebra finch) is the source of this 4089-nucleotide long non-coding RNA. The record is from Ensembl. NCBI's taxonomy places the organism in Eukaryota, Metazoa, Chordata, Aves, Passeriformes, Estrildidae.